RNAcentral lists this ribosomal RNA (253 nucleotides) under uncultured bacterium. RNAcentral describes it as "partial 16S ribosomal RNA". It matches the Rfam family "Archaeal small subunit ribosomal RNA", at positions 474 to 727 of the family's 1478-position model. The record is from RNAcentral.
UACCAGCACCCCGAGUGGUCGGGACGAUUAUUGGGCCUAAAGCAUCCGUAGCCGGUUCUACAAGUCUUCCGUUAAAUCCACCUGCUUAACAGAUGGGCUGCGGAGGGUACUAUGGAGCUAGGAGGCGGGAGAGGCAAGCGGUACUUAGUGGGUAGGGGUAAAAUCCGUUGAUCCAUUGAAGACCACCAGUGGCGAAGGCGGCUUGCCAGAACGCACUCGACGGUGAGGGAUGAAAGCUGGGGGAGCAAACCGG